RNAcentral lists this ribosomal RNA (504 nucleotides) under uncultured bacterium. RNAcentral describes it as "partial 16S ribosomal RNA". It matches the Rfam family "Bacterial small subunit ribosomal RNA", at positions 30 to 523 of the family's 1533-position model. The record is from RNAcentral.
AUUGAACGCUGGCGGCAGGCCUAACACAUGCAAGUCGAACGGUAGCACAGAGAGCUUGCUCUCGGGUGACGAGUGGCGGACGGGUGAGUAACGUCUGGGAAACUGCCCGAUGGAGGGGGAUAACUACUGGAAACGGUAGCUAAUACCGCAUAACGUCGCAAGACCAAAGUGGGGGACCUUCGGGCCUCACACCAUCGGAUGUGCCCAGAUGGGAUUAGCUAGUAGGUGGGGUAAUGGCUCACCUAGGCGACGAUCCCUCGCUGGUCUGAGAGGAUAACCAGCCACACUGGACCUGAGACACGGUCCAGACUCCUACGGGAGGCAGCAGUGGGGAAGAUUGCACAGUGGGCGCAAGCCUGAUGCAGCCAUGCCGCGUGUAUGAAGAAGGCCUUCGGGUUGUAAAGUACUUUCAGCGGGGAGGAAGGCGGUGAAGUUAAUAACUUCACCGAUUGACGUUACCCGCAGAAGAAGCACCGGCUAACUCCGUGCCAGCCGCCGCCGUAA